This is a long non-coding RNA of Juglans microcarpa x Juglans regia, 253 nucleotides long. RefSeq lists it as uncharacterized. The transcript is spliced from 3 exons. Lineage: Eukaryota; Viridiplantae; Streptophyta; Magnoliopsida; Fagales; Juglandaceae. The record is from RefSeq and is a predicted model, not a curated record.
GACAGAACGAUUGUUAAGAAAUCUGAGGGCAUUAAACUUACAGUAUAAUACUUGCACCACCACCAGCUAACAUUGUCCAAAUGCGUCCUUUUGGGUUCAACACGGUGAGUUUCAAAGACCUGCAUUCACUCGCAUAAGGCUACUAGAGCCUCAAUAUCUUCCAUAUCCUCAACAGCAUUUCUGUUCCCGCUCAAUGCCAUCAUUGCAUUGCCUUAUUUCAUCUCCAAGAACAGCCCCAAUUCCAGCCCUUGAA